AUGGGAACGCGAAGAACCUUACCUACUCUUGACAUCCAGAGAACUUAGCAGAGAUGCUUUGGUGCCUUCGGGAACUCUGAGACAGGUGCUGCAUGGCUGUCGUCAGCUCGUGUUGUGAAAUGUUGGGUUAAGUCCCGCAACGAGCGCAACCCUUAUCCUUUGUUGCCAGCGGUUCGGCCGGGAACUCAAAGGAGACUGCCAGUGAUAAACUGGAGGAAGGUGGGGAUGACGUCAAGUCAUCAUGGCCCUUACGAGUAGGGCUACACACGUGCUACAAUGGCGCAUACAAAGAGAAGCGACCUCGCGAGAGCAAGCGGACCUCAUAAAGUAUGUCGUAGUCCGGAUUGGAGUCUGCAACUCGACUCCAUGAAGUCGGAAUCGCUAGUAAUCGUAGAUCAGAAUGCUACGGUGAAUACGUUCCCGGGUCUUGUACACACCG
RNAcentral lists this ribosomal RNA (439 nucleotides) under uncultured bacterium. Its description in RNAcentral is "bacterial SSU rRNA". It matches the Rfam family "Bacterial small subunit ribosomal RNA", at positions 954 to 1392 of the family's 1533-position model. The record is from RNAcentral.